GACGAACGCUGGCGGCGUGCCUAAUACAUGCAAGUAGAACGCACAGUUUAUACCGUAGCUUGCUACACCAUAGACUGUGAGUUGCGAACGGGUGAGUAACGCGUAGGUAACCUGCCUGGUAGCGGGGGAUAACUAUUGGAAACGAUAGCUAAUACCGCAUAAUAUUAAUUAUUGCAUGAUAAUUAAUUGAGAGGUGCAAUUGCACCACUACCAGAUGGACCUGCGUUGUAUUAGCUAGUAGGUGAGGUAACGGCUCACCUAGGCGACGAUACAUAGCCGACCUGGGAGGGUGAUCGGCCACACUGGGACUGGGACACGGCCCCGACUCCUACGGGAGGCAGCAGUAGGGAAUCUUCGGCAAUGGACGAAAGUCUGACCGAGCAACGCCGCGUGAGUGAAGAAGGUUUUCGGAUCGUAAAGCUCUGUUGUAAGAGAAGAACGGGUGUGAGAGUGGAAAGUUCACACUGUGACGGUAUCUUACCAGAAAGGGACGGCUAACUACGUG
Molecule: ribosomal RNA, 505 nt
Filed under: uncultured bacterium
Lineage: Bacteria
Description: partial 16S ribosomal RNA
Rfam family: Bacterial small subunit ribosomal RNA
Source: RNAcentral